UCCUGGCUCAGGAUGAACGCUAGCUACAGGCUUAACACAUGCAAGUCGAGGGGCAUCAUGGAGUUGCUUGCAAACUCUGAUGGCGACCGGCGCACGGGUGAGUAACGCGUAUCCAACCUUCCCUAUAGUAGAGGAUAGCCCGGCGAAAGUCGGAUUAAUACUCUAUGUUUUCCGUUGCAGACAUCUAAGAUGGAACAAAGGCUUGCCGCUAUAGGAUGGGGAUGCGUCUGAUUAGGUUGUUGGCGGGGUAACGGCCCACCAAGCCUUCGAUCAGUAGGGGUUCUGAGAGGAAGGUCCCCCACAUUGGAACUGAGACACGGUCCAAACUCCUACGGGAGGCAGCAGUGAGGAAUAUUGGUCAAUGGGCGAGAGCCUGAACCAGCCAAGUAGCGUGCAGGAUGACGGCCCUAUGGGUUGUAAACUGCUUUUAUGCGGGGAUAAAGUUCACUACGUGUAGUGUUUUGUAGGUACCGCAUGAAUAAGGACCGGCUAAUUCCGUGCCAGCCGCGGC
This 511-nucleotide ribosomal RNA is filed under the name uncultured bacterium. RNAcentral's name for it is "bacterial SSU rRNA". It matches the Rfam family "Bacterial small subunit ribosomal RNA", at positions 17 to 518 of the family's 1533-position model. The record is from RNAcentral.